Molecule: ribosomal RNA, 889 nt
Filed under: uncultured bacterium
Lineage: Bacteria
Description: bacterial SSU rRNA
Rfam family: Bacterial small subunit ribosomal RNA
Source: RNAcentral
GUGCCAGCAGCCGCGGUAAUACGGAGGAUGCAAGCUUUAUCCGGAUUUAUUGGGUUUAAAGGGUGCGUAGGCUGUUCGACAAGUCAGGGGUGAAAGCCCGGCGCCUAACGCCGAACUGCCUUUGAUACUGCCGAGCUGGAAUACGGAUGCCGUGGGAGGAAUGAGUAGUGUAGCGGUGAAAUGCAUAGAUAUUACUCAGAACACCGAUUGCGAAGGCAUCUCACGAAUCCGUCAUUGACGCUGAGGCACGAAAGCGUGGGGAUCAAACAGGAUUAGAUACCCUGGUAGUCCACGCAGUAAACGAUGAUAACUAACCGUCGGCGAUACACAGUCGGUGGCCAAGCGAAAGCGAUUAAGUUAUCCACCUGGGGAGUACGUUCGCAAGAAUGAAACUCAAAGGAAUUGACGGGGGCCCGCACAAGCGGAGGAACAUGUGGUUUAAUUCGAUGAUACGCGAGGAACCUUACCCGGGCUCGAACGGUGCAGGAAGGAUCAAGAGAUUGUGACGCCCUUCGGGGCCUGCAUCGAGGUGCUGCAUGGUUGUCGUCAGCUCGUGUCGUGAGAUGUUGGCUUAAGUGCCAUAACGAGCGCAACCCUUGUCGCCAGUUACCAGCAAGUCAAGUUGGGGACUCUGGCGAGACUGCCACCGCAAGGUGUGAGGAAGGCGGGGAUGACGUCAAAUCAGCACGGCCCUUACGUCCGGGGCGACACACGUGUUACAAUGGCGACUACAGAGGGAGGCCACCUGGCGACAGGGAGCAGAUCUCAAAAAGUCGUCUCAGUUCGGAUCGGAGUCUGCAACUCGACUCCGUGAAGCUGGAUUCGCUAGUAAUCGCGCAUCAGCCAUGGCGCGGUGAAUACGUUCCCGGGCCUUGUACACACCGCCCGU